RNAcentral lists this ribosomal RNA (242 nucleotides) under uncultured bacterium. RNAcentral's name for it is "partial 16S ribosomal RNA". It matches the Rfam family "Bacterial small subunit ribosomal RNA", at positions 535 to 776 of the family's 1533-position model. The record is from RNAcentral.
CUAGCGUUGUCCGGAAUCAUUGGGCGUAAAGCGCGUGUAGGCGGCCCGGUAAGUCCGCUGUGAAAGUCCAGGGCUCAACCCUGGGAUGCCGGUGGAUACUGUCGGGCUCGAGUCCGGAAGAGGCGAGUGGAAUUCCUGGUGUAGCGGUGAAAUGCGCAGAUAUCAGGAGGAACACCAAUGGCGAAGGCAGCUCGCUGGGACGUGACUGACGCUGAGACGCGAAAGCGUGGGGAGCAAACAGG